UGUUGCUUUUGAUUUAUUCUCCUUAUAAUGAUUUGAUAAGAAGGGUAUGAAAUUAGAAAAGCUUGGUUUUUAUUUUAUUUUUCUCACGCCAAAGCCUUCCGUUUCGUUGACUUUGUUUCUAUGCUGUACCUUCUUCAUCUCCUACAUCCAUACAUACAUAAUCGGAUCCAACUCCAAUACCAGUUCCUCGGCAGUUUUCCAAGGGUAAAUCCAAAAUUUUUUAGACCUAAACGACAAUGAACCAUUAGUGUUGGAGAAUCUGAAGCGGUGGUCGUAUACCCUUUAGGUGGUCUGCGCUCAAACAAGAUAUGCGCAAAGAAGGUAAGGUAGAAAAGUUCUAAGAAUACUCAGACCAGAAGAAAAAGAUGUCCCGAAGCUUGGUCGUGAAAUCCAAGUCCAACAACGUACUCCAAUUCAACGUUUCGAGCCUUUGGGUAUAAAUGUCUCCCUUGUUUGCUCCACCAUUUCUUUUUAAUACUAAUAUUUUUUAUCUAGCAUGAUUAUGUUGCUUACCUUUGGUGGUGUUUAAAACAUGUCACUAAAUCCCUUUUUUUGACGUCUGAUGAUGUUGAUGGAAAUGUUUGUAAAUAUAUAUGUUUCAGCUCAUACUGUUGAACGGGGAAAUGUGUUUUAGCUCAUACCAUAUUUUUUAUUAAUAAUGUAUAGGUUAACAUUUUAUGUGUUCCUGUUAUGAUACUCAUUAUUAUCUAUCUAUUACUCGAUUGGAUCCU
Gossypium raimondii (Peruvian cotton) is the source of this 731-nucleotide long non-coding RNA. RefSeq lists it as uncharacterized. NCBI's taxonomy places the organism in Eukaryota, Viridiplantae, Streptophyta, Magnoliopsida, Malvales, Malvaceae. The transcript is spliced from 2 exons. The record is from RefSeq and is a predicted model, not a curated record.